CGGUGCCCAGAGGAGGCUGCUGAGCCUCAGGCCAUGGUCCCAUCUCACAGGACGUGGAACCUGGGAGCCACGCCCUCGCUGCGGGGCCUGUGGAGAGUGGGCCGGGCCCGGGAGCCGGAGCCAGGGAUGGCUCGCCCCGCCCCAGCCAGCCCAGCCACCCGCCCUUUCCCACACACCGGCCUGGGGAGGUUGAGAACUGGGCGUGGAAAAGACACCCCAACCGGCAGUGACGAGGACUCCAGUGCCCGAAGUGCUGCUCACCCUGCCCUAGCUCAGUGCCGAGCCCUCAGCGUGGACUGGGCUGGCCCUGGGAGCCCCCGCAGGCUCUACCUGGCCGUGCAGCAGGGCCUGCAGGACAAGGGGUGCCAGAGCAAGAGUCAGGGGACCAAAGAAGAGAAGCUCCUGAAGAGGCAGGCGCCAGCCCCCAGGCGGGACCGGGAGGCCCCGGAAGCUGGUGGCACCAUGAAUGUAGAGAAAACAGGUGGGCGGCUCUUUGGCAGCGGGAGGUGCUCAAGUCUGUCAGGGCCGCCAAGCACAGCCCCCAUGGUGCAUAGAAUGGUGGAGGCCAUGUCACAGCUGCAGGAAGAGAAAACCCAGCUACAGGAGGAGCUGGUGGCCCUACGGGAGAGGCUGACCCUCCGCGACAGUGACCAGCAAACCACGGCCACUCAGCUGCAGAACCAGGUGGAAAACCUGAAGGAGAAGCUCAUUAGCCAGGCCCAGGAAGUGAGCCGUCUUCGGUCAGAGCUGGGAGGCACCGACUUGGAGAAGCACCGGGAUCUGCUGAUGGUGGAGAAUGAGCGACUGAGGCAGGAGAUGCGGCGCUGUGAGGCCGAGCUGCAGGAACUGCGGGCGAAGCCAGGGACACCCUGCCCGGGCUGUGAGCACAGCCAGGAGAGUGCCCAGCUCCGUGGCAAGCUGUCCCAGCUGCAGCUGGAGGUGGCGGAGAGCAAAGGCAUGCUGUCCGAGCUGAAUCUGGAGGUGCAGCAGAAGACCGACCGGCUGGCCGAGGUGGAGCUGAGGCUCAAGGACUGCCUGGCUGAGAAGGCACAGGAGGAGGAGCGGCUCAGCCGGCGCCUGCGUGACAGCCAUGAGACCAUCGCCAGCCUGCGGGCCCAGUCACCACCUGUCAAGUACAUCAUCAAGACGGUGGAGGUGGAGUCGUCUAAGACCAAGCAGGCCCUUAAUGAGUCCCAGGCCCGCAACCAGCACCUGCAGGAGCAGGUGGCCAUGCAGAGGCAGGUGCUGAAGGAGAUGGAGCAGCAGCUGCAGAGCUCACAUCAGCUGACGGCCCAGCUCCGGGCGCAGAUUGCCAUGUACGAGUCAGAGCUGGAGCGGGCACACGGGCAGAUGCUAGAGGAGAUGCAGUCCCUGGAGGAGGACAAGAACCGGGCCAUUGAGGAGGCCUUUGCCAGGGCCCAGGUGGAGAUGAAGGCUGUGCACGAGAACCUGGCAGGUGUCCGGACCAACCUGUUGACGCUGCAGCCGGCGCUGCGGACCCUCACCAAUGACUACAACGGGCUCAAGAGGCAGGUGCGCGGCUUCCCCCUACUGCUGCAGGAGGCCCUCAAGAGCGUCAAGGCUGAGAUCAGCCAGGCCAUCGAAGAGGUCAACAGCAACAACCAGGAGCUGCUGCGCAAAUAUCGCCGGGAGCUACAGCUGCGCAAGAAGUGCCACAAUGAGCUGGUGCGGCUGAAAGGGAACAUCCGGGUGAUUGCCCGUGUCCGGCCAGUCACCAAAGAGGAUGGAGAAGGGUCUGAGGCAACCAAUGCUGUGACCUUCGAUCCCGACGAUGACUCCAUCAUCCACUUGCUGCACAAGGGAAAGCCUGUAUCCUUCGAACUGGACAAGGUCUUCUCCCCGAGGGCUUCACAGCAGGACGUGUUCCAGGAGGUGCAGGCCCUGAUCACCUCCUGCAUCGAUGGCUUCAAUGUCUGCAUUUUUGCCUACGGGCAGACAGGCGCUGGCAAGACGUACACAAUGGAGGGGAGCCCUGAGAACCCAGGCAUCAACCAGCGGGCCCUGCAGCUGCUCUUCUCUGAGGUGCAGGAGAAAGCCUCUGACUGGGAGUACACCAUCACGGUCAGCGUAGCAGAGAUUUACAACGAGGUCCUCAGGGAUCUGCUGGCAAAGGAGCCACAGGAGAAACUGGAGAUCCGGCUGUGCCCAAAUGGCAGCGGACAGCUCUACGUGCCGGGGCUGACCGAGUUCCAGGUGCAGAGUGUGGACGACAUCAACAAGGUGUUUGAAUUCGGCCACACCAACCGCACGACGGAGUUCACCAACCUGAACGAGCACAGCUCGCGGUCGCACGCCCUGCUCAUCGUGACCGUGCAUGGCAUGGACUGCAGCACAGGCCUGCGCACCACGGGGAAGCUGAACCUGGUGGACCUGGCCGGCUCAGAGCGUGUGGGCAAGUCGGGGGCAGAGGGCAGCCGCCUUCGGGAGGCACAGCACAUCAACAAGUCGCUAUCAGCCCUGGGAGACGUCAUCGCUGCCCUGCGCUCUCGCCAGGGCCAUGUGCCCUUCCGCAACUCCAAGCUCACCUACCUGCUGCAGGACUCACUGAGUGGCGACAGCAAGACCCUCAUGGUGGUGCAGGUAAGGGCCUCAGGUAGGCUGGGCAGGGCAGCCCUCAGGGUUCUGGGGCCCAGGGACACCAGGUUGUGUAGGGAAGGGGCCCCAAAGCCAGUGACGCCCCUAAUCCCCCCACAACAGACCUGGCCGCAUGGAGCCUCGCAUAUUGCACAAGUCCCCUCCUCUUGGCCUUUAACCCUGCUAUUUCUGCCCCGUCCCUUUCAGUCUCCUGGAUGCCCUCUAGAGUCCCCUGCUGUGAGCUGGGACCAUGCUGCCCCUCAAGUUCUGUGGGGGCAGUGGCCAGCCUGGAUGGGUGAGAUCUUGUGCCUCCCCCCCACCUCCAGGUAUCCCCCGUGGAGAAGAACACCAGUGAGACGCUAUAUUCCCUCAAGUUUGCUGAGAGGGUGCGCUCUGUGGAGUUGGGCCCCGUGUCCCGCCGGACGGAGCUUGGGUCCUGGUCGAGCCAGGAGCAUCUGGAGUGGGAGCCUGCUUGCCAGACGCCACAGCCCUCAGCACGAGCCCACUCAGCCCCCGGCUCUGGCUCCGGGACCUCCAGCCGCCCUGGCUCCAUCCGGAGGAAGCUGCAGCCCUCAGGUGAGCCUUUUAGGUGUGGGCCACAGGGAGGAAGCCUUCUCCAUGAGACUGCGGGCUUUUUCUUUUUUUUAAGUUUAUAAAACUUGCCCAGAGCCUCUUCUGCAGCCUCCCCAACCCCUGGGAAGUGGUCAAGGCCGACAGUACUGUGUCCACUUCAGAUGGGAAGUCUAAGGCCACAGCUGAGCUCAUGCAGUUCACCCCCUCCAAAGCUAGCCUGGCAUGCCCUGCCCUGUCCCUCGGCUCCUUGGGGGGUGGGAAGGACCGGGGUCAUGCCCAUUUCUCAGAUGAGGGCUGAGGCUGGCCACAGGGCUAGAGUCAGGGCCCAAGACUCCUGCUUGACCCCACUCAGGGAGGGGCCUGGCGAGCCCCUUGGGGUAGGGGCAGCAGGGUCCAGUGGGGUCCUGGCUGAGGCUGGCCCACAGUGAGACACCUGUCGCUUUGAUUGCAGCCUGACGGCUGGGGCUACAGUGUCCAGGAAAGUUGAGGCCGUUGCCUGUGUGAUGGACGUGCCCACCCUGCAGGGCCAGGACUAGGUCCCAGGGCCUUGCUGGCCUGCUCCUGUGCAGCACCAGGACCCCAGGAGGUGAAAGUGAAGAGUGGAGGCCCCUUUCCUGCUCUGUCUCCCCUCAGAGAUGAGAAACAUGUUCUGAAGGAAAUGCGUCUCUCGGCUGUGGCUCUGGGCACCAAUGGCGUGGGCUGGAAGGGCAGACCCAGCCGUCAGAGUCAGGCCCUUGAGGGGUGGACAGGAGUGUGUGGGAGGGGUGCCCCUCCCUGGGCUGCCCAGCUCCUCUCUGAGCCUGCAGGACUCGAUGGCCCCUCUGGUGGGUGGGCUGAGAUGCCUCUAGGAAAGCACUAGAACUGGGCCAUGGGAACUGGGCUGGGUUAGUGGGUACCAAGGGGCAGCCCUGGCCCCCGUCCCUCCAAUGAGGGGCUCCCAUAGUGGGGUGUACAUAGUGUUUCUAGGUGUACAUUGGGACUGGCCCGACCUACUCCAGGCGGGCCGUAUUUAUGGCUGGCAAAGAAGGCCAGCGGGCUGGGGCUCAUGACACCCCCACCUGCCUGACGCCGGGUUCUCUCCUUGCUCACUGGCCUCUUGACAUUUUUCUCUCUGAAUUCCUAUUUAAGAACUUUUGGAAAUUUAGCCAUUUUUACUUACUAAAAUAAAAGGUCUUUUUACACAUGCGUUGUCUGAGAGAGUUGGUCUAAUGUGCCCCUUGCGAUUAGAUGCUGGGGAGCAGGGUGUUGGCAGGUCCUGAUGCCCCAAUGCUGGCUUGUCCAGCUGCGUUUUUCUAUUGCUUGCGUUCAUGUUUGCUGUUAUUAGGCACCUACUGUGUGUGGGAAACAGGCUGAGAGAGGUUCAGAGGCUGGUCAGAUUCAUGGCUGGGGUUCAAACCCAGCUGCCUGACACCCCGUGGCCUGGCUUUGUUCCUCUUAAGUGAACUGGCCUCACAUGAGCACCUCCCUCCUCCCAGUACCUAUAGGACCCCCCAAUAAGCACCCCCCUCCUGACAGUACCUAUAGGAUGCCUCCUUACACCUGGUCCCAGCCUUGUGGGAAUCGUGCAGAGCUCUGUGGGGUUCUCCCUCCCUGACUGGGACGGAACCCGACAGCUGCUGUCUUGCAGGGAAAGGGGCCAAAUCUUAAGGCUGCACCCCACUCUUUCAGGAACGAUCGCUGGGUUAGGGGAGCUUGUACUGGCCAGAUAGAUAGCACUGGGGCUCUUGUUCAGAGCC
RNA transcript from Loxodonta africana (African savanna elephant), 4904 nucleotides. It is a transcript of the gene named kinesin family member C3, with no coding region annotated. Lineage: Eukaryota; Metazoa; Chordata; Mammalia; Proboscidea; Elephantidae. The record is from RefSeq and is a predicted model, not a curated record. The transcript is spliced from 19 exons.